This is a non-coding RNA of Malaclemys terrapin pileata, 533 nucleotides long. The record is from the annotation of a RefSeq genome assembly. Lineage: Eukaryota; Metazoa; Chordata; Testudines; Emydidae.
CGAGCUCGUCUGGAUUCCCCACCAUGGCCUGGGCCCCUCUGCUCCUCGCGCUGCUCACUUACUGCUCCGGGUCCAACUCACAGCCCACCCUGACUCAACCAUCAUCAGCAUCAGUGUCUCCGGGAAACACCGUGAAACUCUCCUGCACCGUCAGCAGUAGCAUGAACACCAUAGCCUGGAUCCAACAGAAACCUGGGCAAGCCCCUCGCUUUGUGCUGUACGGUACCACUGACAGAGGCGAUGGGAUCCCUGAUCGGUUCACUGGUUCCACCUCUGGCAAUGUUGGUUAUUUAACCAUCACCAAUGCCCAAGCAGAAGACGAUGCUGAUUAUUACUGUAGCAUGUGGUACAGCAGUGGUAGCGUAGCUCACAGUGAUAGAGUCAGAUGGGGAACUGAGACAAAAACCUCCCUUCCCUCAGCCUGCAUUCUGGCACCGAUGCUCUGCAGAGUCUGGUUUACAACCGAGGCAGAGGAGAACGUCUUCCCCUGCAUGUAUGUCCAGGUGGGCUCUGGUUCCCAUCCCAGUAAAUGA